UUUACUGGAACAGACUUGGCUGCAUCCAGAUGGUUAAGCCGGCACGUCCCGAGAAGGUACUCCGGCAGCUCCUCUUUUGUAUUUGCCUGUAGGUUUCCGCAUGAAAUAUUUACAAUUUUGGACAUUUAUGGAAGUAUUGUUGAGGUAACCAAGCACAAGACUGACUACACCUCUUGCUACUGUUGAUGAUCCGAUGUCGAUCCCAAGCUGAAAACAAAAAAUUACGAAGUUUCAGUAUGCCGGAGUUUCUCAUGCUAUUUACAAUUGUCAAAAUCCACUUUGAACACUGAUUGUUUAAAAAUGAGGCAAUGUUAUAAAUUUACCUCCAAGUAGUUCUUCCCUUGGAAGUAAUUUAUUUCCAGAGCUUGGCCGAUGAGGCAAGCUUUCUUUCCGACACUCUGCUUGACUAUCCACGAUCCCUAACAAAACAAAGUCAUCUAUCAAAACCCUUUUUCUUUGUACAAUGCAAAUUGUGAAAUGAAGCUAUAUGCGGUAUGAGUUUAAA
This is a long non-coding RNA of Gossypium arboreum, 505 nucleotides long. RefSeq lists it as uncharacterized. The transcript is spliced from 2 exons. The record is from RefSeq and is a predicted model, not a curated record. NCBI's taxonomy places the organism in Eukaryota, Viridiplantae, Streptophyta, Magnoliopsida, Malvales, Malvaceae.